Molecule: long non-coding RNA, 1081 nt
Filed under: Homo sapiens (human)
Lineage: Eukaryota; Metazoa; Chordata; Mammalia; Primates; Hominidae
Description: long intergenic non-protein coding RNA 1478
Source: RNAcentral
AUCACCAAACUGUUUUGAAAGAUAAAAGUACUUCCUGAAUAUGUGGAUGGUGAGCCACGUGAAUGGAAGACAUGGAGAUAUGGACUGUUAACACCUUGUCAAACAUUUAUUGUCCCUUCCACCUCUAAACUUCUGUGAUAAUAGGUGAACAGGACCCACGUGGUGCAGAAUACUGCGAUACACACUGCGGAAUAAUUCAGGGACUGGGAGUUGGAGAGGGGAGACUGGAGAGAGUAGGAAGAAGAAAGAGACAUUAUACAAAUGCAAGCUGUUGUCACAACAAUGAUAAGAAAUCAGGAGUCGAAAGAUGUGGAGUAAGGGGGAAUUUCAGAGAAACCACAAAACACAAAAUAGGAAACAGAGACAGGAGAAGAUUGCUAUGACAAAAUUGCAGAAGGUGAAAUCUUUGGCAGCCUCUUAUUUCUCUGGAGAAUAUGAUAUUGUCAGGCUGAGGUGGAAGAAUCACAUGGUCAUACUGUUGAAGAGGUCUUGAAACAUUGGGCUUUCCUCUACAAGCGGAAGGAUAGCACUGGCAGCCAUCCACUGGCCCAGCAAUAUCCUGGAUUGAGACGAUAUCAUUUGCAUUACUUGCUGAAUGAAACAUAGUGAAAAUGACUGCAGAUAACCUCAACUAAGUCCAAGAUAUCAUUUUCAAAUCUGGACCAGCCCUUGCCAUCUAGACUGAACAGAGAUUCCAGUUUCCAGGAGAGUAGAUGGAGUAAUGAUAAAAGCACCUCCCAAAACUUUUGCCUUGGUACUACAGAGUGGCACAUAACUAAACAUUAUCAAGGAAUUUUACAGCCCUAGGCCUUCUAUUACUGUGUAUUACAGUCUGCUGUAAUCAUUCUAAUGGUCUAAGAUGUUGCAAGUAAUUUACUCACGGCCUGAACACCAGAAGUGCCAAAAUUGCCUGGGAGUUUUAUUCUGCAUCCAACCAGUACCAGGAAGGAGGAUGUAUUACUUCUCGUUUCUCUACAAGUGUCAGUGCAAAUCCAGCCAUCAAACAAAACUUAGACCUAAAAGCUUUUAGAUUACAGCGAUUAUUGCAGAUUUUACAUGAGAUAAAAAUGUAAUUGCUCCA